RNAcentral lists this ribosomal RNA (468 nucleotides) under uncultured bacterium. RNAcentral describes it as "partial 16S ribosomal RNA". It matches the Rfam family "Bacterial small subunit ribosomal RNA", at positions 28 to 507 of the family's 1533-position model. The record is from RNAcentral.
GACGAACGCUGGCGGCGUGCUUAACACAUGCAAGUCGAACGGAAAGGCCCUGCUUUUGUGGGGUGCUCGAGUGGCGAACGGGUGAGUAACACGUGAGUAACCUGCCCUUGACUUUGGGAUAACUUCAGGAAACUGGGGCUAAUACCGGAUAAGAGCUCCUGCUGCAUGGUGGGGGUUGGAAAGUUUCGGCGGUUGGGGAUGGACUCGCGGCUUAUCAGCUUGUUGGUGGGGUAGUGGCUUACCAAGGCUUUGACGGGUAGCCGGCCUGAGAGGGUGACCGGCCACAUUGGGACUGAGAUACGGACCAGACUCCUACGGGAGGCAGCAGUGGGGAAUAUUGCACAAUGGGCGGAAGCCUGAUGCAGCAACGCCGCGUGCGGGAUGACGGCCUUCGGGUUGUAAACCGCUUUCGCCUGUGACGAAGCGUGAGUGACGGUAAUGGGUAAAGAAGCACCGGCUAACUACGUG